ACCGCGUACAUAGCCUGAAAUGGGCCCUCUCCCUCCCUCUGUCAUUCUGAGAGCAUCUACACAGGACGCCAGGUCUGAGAUCUGGUCCGGCUCCCCAGCAGCUGACACUCCCCUCCGUCCUUCCGCGGGUUCCCCGUUCUCCCGGAUCUGCGAGAUCCUCUGCCGGGUCUUGGGAACAACCCACCUCCUCCACCCAACAGUCCUCCAGAGCUCGGCGUCCCAGGCUAGGACAGUGGCUGGACCGAGCCCAGGAUAGGGGCAGACACCGCUACCAAGUGAGUAUCUGGAGCGGGCAUCCGAGCGCGGGACCCGCAGGGACAGGGCACGCGCAGGCAGAGAGGGCCAGGAACUUGGCUGGAGUCUGACACCCGGCGGGUGAGAGGAGCGGGGGCGCGGGAGAUCAAAGAUUUGGACCUAGAAAGGACGCCCAGAGCCUGAGCCCAGAAGGACCGAAAGCUGGGUGCGGACUCCCACCUUCAGAUGAGGACACUGAGGCACAGCCCAUAACCUUGGAAGUGCAAUUAGAUCUCGGGGAGUCGGUGUCAGAAGCUGUAUGUUUAAUCCCUGUGCUUCAGUAAAGAGAAGAAAUAAGAUGGGAACUCGGGUGAGAGGAGAAUCAACUCAUUGCCCCAGGGAGAAAGUAGCUAGGACAAUACGGAAGGCAGUGAUACGUAAGCUGGAUCUUGCAGAAUUUUUUUUUCCUUCGAAUCCUUUCCUUUCUUUACCAAACAGCACAGUCCACCCUAUUUUAUACAAAUGUUUGAAAAGCAGCUGUGUUUUCCCACCGGUUGUCAUUAUAAUUCUACGGGAUGACCCUGUAAAGCACGCCUUUGCUCUACCGAAUUCCACUUGGGAGCAGAAGGAGGCUGAAACAGUGUGAAUCUUCCAACCUCAAUCAACCCGGGUCCCCAGCUUCCUCUUGAAGGCAGCCCCUGAGAAGGGCUCUCAUGGUAAUUGUGUGCAGGUCACAGCGAAAGAAGAGUGCUGUUAGAAUACAGAAAGCCGACCAAACACGGGAGUGACUGAGCCACAUGUGAGGUAAUAUUCACAUGAAUGUAAUCCUUGGUACUUGGGCUUGUUGCUCUCAAUAUCUUAUUUGUGUUGGCUUCCUUGCACUGUGCUUGCUGUUUUUUUUUUUUUUUUUUUUUUUUUUUUCCUUUUUUAAGUCAAUAUCACUAUGUAGUCUAGGCUGGCCUUGAACUCACGACCCUCCUGCCUCAGCUUCUGAAGUAGCUGGGAUUACAGACACGCAUCACCAUACCUGAGACUCUUUCUCUCAUUUCUCAGUACUGGGGAUUGAACCUAGGACGCUAAGAAAAUGCUCCACCACUGACCUACACCUCCACCACUUUUUUUUUUUUUUUUUUUUGAGACAGUGUUUCGGUAUUCUUGGCCUUCAAUGUACUAUGUAGUCCAGGCUGGGUUUGAACUCCCGGUAAUCCUCCUGCCUCAGUCUCCCAAGUGCUGGGAUUACAGGUGUGUGCCACCAUUCCAAGCUUCCCCAACAGUUUUAAAAUUUCAUUUGGGGAAAGGAUCUCACUAAAUUGUCCAGGCUUGAACUUAUGAUCCUCCUGUUCAGCCUCCCAAGUUGCUGAGGUAAUAGACAUGCCUGUUUCAUCCUGUGCUUUUUCACAACUUUCUC
RNAcentral lists this long non-coding RNA (1642 nucleotides) under Fukomys damarensis (Damara mole-rat). Its description in RNAcentral is "lncRNA (ENSFDAG00000028288.1)". Lineage: Eukaryota; Metazoa; Chordata; Mammalia; Rodentia; Bathyergidae. The record is from RNAcentral.